RNAcentral lists this ribosomal RNA (468 nucleotides) under uncultured bacterium. RNAcentral's name for it is "partial 16S ribosomal RNA". It matches the Rfam family "Bacterial small subunit ribosomal RNA", at positions 28 to 507 of the family's 1533-position model. The record is from RNAcentral.
GAUGAACGCUGGCGGCGUGCUUAACACAUGCCAGUCGAACGGAAAGGCCGAAGCUUGCUUCGGUACUCGAGUGGCGAACGGGUGAGUAACACGUGGGUGAUCUGCCCUGUACUUCGGGAUAAGCUUGGGAAACUGGGUCUAAUACCGGAUAUGACGAUCUCUUGGAUGGGGUUGUGGAAAGCUUUUGCGGUAUGGGAUGAGCUCGCGGCCUAUCAGCUUGUUGGUGGGGUAAUGGCCUACCAAGGCGUCGACGGGUAGCCGGCCUGAGAGGGUGUACGGCCACAUUGGGACUGAGAUACAGCCCAGACUCCUACGGGAGGCAGCAGUGGGGAAUAUUGCACAAUGGGCGCAAGCCUGAUGCAGCGACGCCGCGUGGGGGAUGACGGCCUUCGGGUUGUAAACUCCUUUCGCAAUCGACGAAGCCUUUUGGUGACGGUAGGUUGAGAAGAAGCACCGGCUAACUACGUG